Molecule: ribosomal RNA, 465 nt
Filed under: uncultured bacterium
Lineage: Bacteria
Description: partial 16S ribosomal RNA
Rfam family: Bacterial small subunit ribosomal RNA
Source: RNAcentral
GACGAACGCUGGCGGCGUGCUUAACACAUGCAAGUCGAACGGAAAGGCCCUGCUUGCAGGGUACUCGAGUGGCGAACGGGUGAGUAACACGCGGGUGAUCUGCCCUGCACUUCGGGAUAAGCUUGGGAGACUGGGUCUAAUACCGGACAGGAACCAUCUUUAGCGUGGUGGUUGGAAAGUUUUUUCGGGGUGGGGUGAGCUCGCGGCGUAUCAGCUUGUUGGUGGGGUAAUGGCCUACCAAGGCGGCUGCGGGAAGCAGGACUGGGGGGGUGUACGGCGACACUGGGUCUGAGGGGAGGCCGCGGCACCGAAGGGAGGCAGAUGGGGGGAAUAUUGCACAAUGGGCGCCAGGCUGGUGCUGCGGCGCCGCGGGGGGGAAGACUGCCUUCGGGUUGUAGACUCCUUGCGCUAGGGACGGAGCUUUUUGUGACGGUACCUAGAGAAGAAGCACCGGCUAACUACGUG